Molecule: long non-coding RNA, 709 nt
Filed under: Olea europaea subsp. europaea
Lineage: Eukaryota; Viridiplantae; Streptophyta; Magnoliopsida; Lamiales; Oleaceae
Source: RNAcentral
CAACCCUAACAUAGCCCACUUUAAUUAAACAUAUUCAACAUGACUAAUCUCGUAACAACUUGUGCUUAUCUUAUGCUAAGUACCAGUGUGACAUGGCAUAAUAUAAUAGGUGGUGGAAGAUAAUGAUUGAUUACAAAAUUGAUUAUACCACAUAUUAUAGUGUGUCAUGUCACUUAGUGCACGGGUGCUUAGGAGAUUAAUUUCAACAUGCAAAUUAACUUCCCAACCCAGUAUUUCACAAACUCUCCUUUGUAGGUCGUAACCAUUUCUCAACAAAAUUAUUGCCUUACAAAAUCUCUUAACCCGCUUAAAUCGUGCAUUUGAAGGCUCCUUUUAGUCAUUUUUUCUUGAUUCCUAAGUUUAAUUCUAUUCUCUCUCUCAAUUUUUUUCCCCUUCUUUUUGCAGAUCUGAAGAAAUGUAAGAGAGUUGAAAGGCAAUUGAGAGUUACAUUUAGAAUAAGAGAAAAUGAAAUCUGUUUGCAAUUUUGUUUAAUUGGGAGGUUAAUUGAAUCUUGUUGAAAAUCUUUGUGAGUAUUCUUGAUGCGGUCGUCACCCAUAUAUGUUUUGGGCUACUUUGAUAUAUGUUUUGUGUAGUUUAAAUUAGGAUUGUUUAAUCAGGUUUGGCCCAAGCCCAUUUACUUUCCAGGUUUGUCGAAUAGCUUGGUAAUGUAAUUUCAAAGAAGAUGAUGAUUGAUGAAUAUCAAUGAAAU